GACGAACGCUGGCGGCGUGCCUAAUACAUGCAAGUUGAGCGCUGAAGGUUGGUACUUGUACCAACUGGAUGAGCAGCGAACGGGUGAGUAACGCGUGGGGAAUCUGCCUUUGAGCGGGGGACAACAUUUUGAAACGAAUGCUAAUACCGCAUAAAAACUUUAAACACAAGUUUUAAGUUUGAAAGAUGCAAUUGCAUCACUCAAAGAUGAUCCCGCGUUGUAUUAGCUAGUUGGUGAGGUAAAGGCUCACCAAGGCGAUGAUACAUAGCCGACCUGAGAGGGUGAUCGGCCACAGUGGGACUGAGACACGGCCCAAACUACUACGGGAGGCAGCAGUAGGGAAUCUUCGGCAAUGGACGAAAGUCUGACCGAGCAACGCCGCGUGAGUGAAGAAGGUUUUCGGAUCGUAAAACUCUGUUGGUAGAGAAGAACGUUGGUGAGAGUGGAAAGCUCAUCAAGUGACGGUAACUACCCAGAAAGGGGCGGCUAACUACGUG
This 497-nucleotide ribosomal RNA is filed under the name uncultured bacterium. Its description in RNAcentral is "partial 16S ribosomal RNA". It matches the Rfam family "Bacterial small subunit ribosomal RNA", at positions 28 to 507 of the family's 1533-position model. The record is from RNAcentral.